The sequence is a small nuclear RNA, 140 nucleotides long. Its record names the gene U2. It matches the Rfam family "U2 spliceosomal RNA". Rfam says of the family: U2 is a small nuclear RNA (snRNA) component of the spliceosome (involved in pre-mRNA splicing). Complementary binding between U2 snRNA (in an area lying towards the 5' end but 3' to hairpin I) and the branchpoint sequence (BPS) of the intron results the bulging out of an unpaired adenosine, on the BPS, which initiates a nucleophilic attack at the intronic 5' splice site, thus starting the first of two transesterification reactions that mediate splicing. The record is from Ensembl.
AUCGCUUCUCGGCCUUUUGGCUAAGAUCAAGUGUAAAAAGAAACAAAUCUAUGGAUAUUUCCAUAGCACUUUAUACUUCUUAAAGCCAGUUUAAUGAAUUGUGCUGUAUAUUGCAUCUCUCAGAACUUAGCAAAAUUUCU